Non-coding RNA from Pelobates cultripes (western spadefoot toad), 322 nucleotides. The record is from the annotation of a GenBank genome assembly. NCBI's taxonomy places the organism in Eukaryota, Metazoa, Chordata, Amphibia, Anura, Pelobatidae.
AAAAUAAAUAAACUACAUAACAUAUAUUACCAUACAAGUGAAUAUUUGCUGAUAUAAAGGUUGUGCUGGAUUCGAAGAUUCUGUAUCUGUGCACAAUAAAUAUAACUGGACACAGUAGCUAAAAUGACUUAAUCUCCCUGUAUAGAUGUUGUUAUGGUAUUUUAUGGAUUCCAGUAUAAUGUACAUGCAAUAUUAAAAUAUACUAUAUAUUAUAGCAGUAUGUUUAUGGACGUAUUAACUGUUGGAUAUAUCACAGACCAUUGUCAGUGUCCAUUUCUUAUAAAACACUGAGUUUCUGAGUUUUGAUGAUAUUAUUGUAUUG